GGGGCCUUAGCUCAGUUGGCAGAGCGCCUGCUUUGCAAGCAGGAAGUCAGGAGUUCGAAUCUCCUAGGCUCCACC
This 75-nucleotide transfer RNA is filed under the name Nonomuraea longicatena. Its description in RNAcentral is "tRNA-Ala". It matches the Rfam family "tRNA". Rfam says of the family: Transfer RNA (tRNA) molecules are approximately 80 nucleotides in length. Their secondary structure includes four short double-helical elements and three loops (D, anti-codon, and T loops). The record is from RNAcentral. Lineage: Bacteria; Bacillati; Actinomycetota; Actinomycetes; Streptosporangiales; Streptosporangiaceae. RNAcentral also lists the same sequence under 1 other name.